Molecule: ribosomal RNA, 293 nt
Filed under: uncultured bacterium
Lineage: Bacteria
Description: partial 16S ribosomal RNA
Rfam family: Archaeal small subunit ribosomal RNA
Source: RNAcentral
GUGCCAGCAGCCGUGGUAAUACCGGCAGCCCGAGUGAUGGCCGAUCUUAUUGGGCCUAAAGCGUCCGUAGCUGGCCGCACAAGUCUGUCGGGAAAUCCACCUGCUCAACAGGUGGGCGUCCGGCGGAAACUGUGUGGCUUGGAACCGGAAGGCUCGGAGGGUACGUCCGGGGUAGGAGUGAAAUCCCGUAAUCCCGGACGGACCACCGAUGGCGAAAGCACUUCGAGAAAACGGAUCCGACAGUGAGGGACGAAAGCUAAGAUCGCGAACCGGAUUAGAUACCCCUGUAGUCC